AGCGGAAUUGGGCAAACUUGUCAAAAAUACAGGGAACCAAAGCCAGGGGUCUAAAACAUUUUUGUUAUGAAAGCCGGGUUGCAAAG
Molecule: non-coding RNA, 86 nt
Filed under: Propionispora hippei DSM 15287
Lineage: Bacteria; Bacillati; Bacillota; Negativicutes; Selenomonadales; Sporomusaceae
Description: GEMM cis-regulatory element
Rfam family: c-di-GMP-I riboswitch aptamer
About the family: GEMM was predicted in a large-scale screen for bacterial structured RNA regulatory elements.
Source: RNAcentral